RNAcentral lists this ribosomal RNA (429 nucleotides) under Gemmatimonadota bacterium. RNAcentral describes it as "Gemmatimonadetes bacterium partial 16S ribosomal RNA". It matches the Rfam family "Bacterial small subunit ribosomal RNA", at positions 355 to 776 of the family's 1533-position model. Lineage: Bacteria; Pseudomonadati; Gemmatimonadota. The record is from RNAcentral.
UAGGGAAUCUUCGGCAAUGGACGAAAGUCUGACCGAGCAACGCCGCGUGAGUGAAGAAGGUUUUCGGAUCGUAAAACUCUGUUGUUAGAGAAGAACAAGGACGUUAGUAACUGAACGUCCCCUGACGGUAUCUAACCAGAAAGCCACGGCUAACUACGUGCCAGCAGCCGCGGUAAUACGUAGGUGGCAAGCGUUGUCCGGAUUUAUUGGGCGUAAAGCGAGCGCAGGCGGUUUCUUAAGUCUGAUGUGAAAGCCCCCGGCUCAACCGGGGAGGGUCAUUGGAAACUGGGAGACUUGAGUGCAGAAGAGGAGAGUGGAAGUCCAUGUGUAGCGGUGAAAUGCGUAGAUAUAUGGAGGAACACCAGUGGCGAAGGCGGCUCUCUGGUCUGUAACUGACGCUGAGGCGCGAAAGCGUGGGGAGCAAACAGG